CGAUGAGUAGGGCGGGACACGUGGUAUCCUGUCUGAAUAUGGGGGGACCAUCCUCCAAGGCUAAAUACUCCUGACUGACCGAUAGUGAACCAGUACCGUGAGGGAAAGGCGAAAAGAACCCCGGCGAGGGGAGUGAAAAAGAACCUGAAACCGUGUACGUACAAGCAGUGGGAGCACAGGUUUACCUGUGUGACUGCGUACCUUUUGUAUAAUGGGUCAGCGACUUAUAUUCUGUAGCAAGGUUAACCGAAUAGGGGAGCCGGAGGGAAACCGAGUCUUAAYYGGGCGUUAAGUUGCAGGGUAUAGACCCGAAACCCGGUGAUCUAGCCAUGGGCAGGUUGAAGGUUGGGUAACACUAACUGGAGGACCGAACCGACUAAUGUUGAAAAAUUAGCGGAUGACCUGUGGCUGGGGGUGAAAGGCCAAUCAAACCGGGAGAUAGCUGGUUCUCCCCGAAAGCUAUUUAGGUAGCGCCUCGUGAAUUCAUCUCCGGGGGUAGAGCACUGUUUCGGCUAGGGGGCCAUCCCGGCUUACCAACCCGAUGCAAACUGCGAAUACCGGAGAAUGUUAUCACGGGAGACACACGGCGGGUGCUAACGUCCGUCGUGAAGAGGGAAACAACCCAGACCGCCAGCUAAGGUCCCAAAGUCAUGGUUAAGUGGGAAACGAUGUGGGAAGGCCCAGACAGCCAGGAUGUUGGCUUAGAAGCAGCCAUCAUUUAAAGAAAGCGUAAUAGCUCACUGGUCGAGUCGGCCUGCGCGGAAGAUGUAACGGGGCUAAACCAUGCACCGAAGCUGCGGCAGCGA
This 806-nucleotide ribosomal RNA is filed under the name Salmonella enterica subsp. enterica serovar Infantis. RNAcentral describes it as "partial 23S ribosomal RNA". Lineage: Bacteria; Pseudomonadati; Pseudomonadota; Gammaproteobacteria; Enterobacterales; Enterobacteriaceae. The record is from RNAcentral.